RNAcentral lists this long non-coding RNA (227 nucleotides) under Olea europaea (common olive). RNAcentral's name for it is "long non-coding RNA (OEUR_LNC012447)". The record is from RNAcentral. Lineage: Eukaryota; Viridiplantae; Streptophyta; Magnoliopsida; Lamiales; Oleaceae.
AACUUAAAAUUAUCCUAAAAAGUCUCCCGUAUAACCCAAGAGUUAGUCGACCUCACACUCCUCGCUACUGUUCACACAAACCACCAUGCGCCACCUCUUCUCCACCUUCUACCGCUCCAACCUCCGCCGACACUUACUUCAGUGCGCCAAUUACAAGCCGCAGAAGCUCCAGGCACCACCCUCCCCUCCGUCGCCGCCGAAGCCUCCAAAGAAACCGACUACUUUGA